UGCAAAUAGCGCUCAGACCUCACGAACGGUAGAGCCAAUAUUUAGCAUACAAAGACUUUGUGUUUCUUUGUCCUGAACACAAGAUGGCGGCCAUGUUUUCUGUUGGGGAAUAGGCGAGUGGGACCUGGCACAAAAACCCCUGGAUCGAGGGACGGGUAGUCUGUGAUACGAAUACCGCUCCAGGGAUGGUUGUCUCAGCCCUUUGUGGACCGAACGCAGACCGCUCUGAAUAAGCAGUUAAUCUGCGGUUAACCGCAGCCUCAACGUUCUAAUCGGGGACACACGCCGGAGUACAGGGAGGUCCUCGUUCAG
Molecule: non-coding RNA, 312 nt
Organism: Pelobates cultripes (western spadefoot toad)
Lineage: Eukaryota; Metazoa; Chordata; Amphibia; Anura; Pelobatidae
Source: the annotation of a GenBank genome assembly